CCCUUAGAUGUUCUGGGCAGCACGCGCGCUACAAUGGUCUUCGCAAACGGAUGCAUUCUCGAAGGAGAAUGCCAAUCUUGGAAUCUAUGCCUUGGUCGGGACAGUUGCUUGCAAUUUUUCGACUCGAACCAGGAAUUCCUUGUAUUCGUGAUUCAUCACAUCACGAUGAAUACGUCCCUGCCCUUUGUACACACCGCCCGUCGCUCCUACCGAUCGAAGAGUUAGGUGAAUUGUUUUGAUCGAUAAGAUUUGACUAUGGUCAACUCUCGUUGUGAAAUUCUGUGAAUCUGACUGUUUAGAGGAAGGAAAAGUCGUAACA
Molecule: ribosomal RNA, 319 nt
Filed under: uncultured eukaryote
Lineage: Eukaryota
Description: partial 18S ribosomal RNA
Rfam family: Eukaryotic small subunit ribosomal RNA
Source: RNAcentral